CAUCAGAGCAUUUCAUAUCCAUCCAGAUCGACCAUGCUCAUUCGGGUCCACCAGGUCCUCGUUGUUCAGCUGAUCCAUGUAGGCUUGAUGAUGGUACCUUUGCCCAGGACGAACACACACACACACUCAUUAACGCGGCUAAGAUAUGAUGAAAGCAUGCUAAAGCUCAAGUGCUGAAUGUGGAUUCUAUUUCUCAACAGGAAAUUGUGAUGGUGUCAUGGACUCCGGACUCGUCCAUGCGAGGCUGGCUCCGAUGCGAUUGUGAUUGCUUAAGUUCAGGUAAUAUAUAGUUGUGUGUGUUUUCAUCUAUGCAUAUUUUGUUCUAUCUAUCAUAG
RNAcentral lists this long non-coding RNA (335 nucleotides) under Zea mays. RNAcentral describes it as "long non-coding RNA (ZMAY_LNC000297)". The record is from RNAcentral. Lineage: Eukaryota; Viridiplantae; Streptophyta; Magnoliopsida; Poales; Poaceae.